CGAAUGGCUUUCUUUAAAGCCACAUGAUCUUCCAAAAUGGAUUAACU
Molecule: non-coding RNA, 47 nt
Organism: Biomphalaria glabrata
Lineage: Eukaryota; Metazoa; Mollusca; Gastropoda; Planorbidae
Source: Rfam